Molecule: unclassified non-coding RNA, 190 nt
Filed under: uncultured Peniophora
Lineage: Eukaryota; Fungi; Basidiomycota; Agaricomycetes; Russulales; Lachnocladiaceae
Description: sequence contains ITS2
Source: RNAcentral
AUUCCUCCACCCUUUCACUUUGUUGUUGAAAGGGAUGGGAUUUGGGGGCUUUGCGGGAUCUCUCUAGAGUCCGCUCCCCUUGAAUGCAUUAGCAAAAAGACCCUCGUGGCCUCGGUGUGAUAAUUAUCUACGCCGUCCGGACGCGAAUAGACUUUUGCUUCCAAUCGUCUUCGGACAAAACACAUCUGAU